This 301-nucleotide ribosomal RNA is filed under the name uncultured bacterium. RNAcentral describes it as "partial 16S ribosomal RNA". It matches the Rfam family "Bacterial small subunit ribosomal RNA", at positions 509 to 807 of the family's 1533-position model. The record is from RNAcentral.
CAGCAGCCACGGUAAUACCGAGGGUGCAAGCGUUAAUCGGAAUUACUGGGCGUAAAGCGCGCGUAGGUGGUUUGUUAAGUUGAAUGUGAAAUCCCCGGGCUCAACCUGGGAACUGCAUCCAAAACUGGCAAGCUAGAGUAGGGCAGAGGGUGGUGGAAUUUCCUGUGUAGCGGUGAAAUGCGUAGAUAUAGGAAGGAACACCAGUGGCGAAGGCGACCACCUGGGCUCAUACUGACACUGAGGUGCGAAAGCGUGGGGAGCAAACAGGAUUAGAUACCCCAGUAGUCCCUGUCUCUUAUAC